UACGUAGGUGGCAAGCGUUGUCCGGAAUUAUUGGGCGUAAAGCGCGCGCAGGCGGUCCUUUAAGUCUGAUGUGAAAGCCCACGGCUCAACCGUGGAGGGUCAUUGGAAACUGGGGGACUUGAGUGCAGGAGAGAAGAGUGGAAUUCCACGUGUAGCGGUGAAGUGCGUAGAGAUGUGGAGGAACACCAGUGGCGAAGGCGACUCUUUGGCCUGUAACUGACGCUGAGGCGCGAAAGCGUGGGGAGCAAACAGG
This 253-nucleotide ribosomal RNA is filed under the name uncultured bacterium. RNAcentral's name for it is "partial 16S ribosomal RNA". It matches the Rfam family "Bacterial small subunit ribosomal RNA", at positions 524 to 776 of the family's 1533-position model. The record is from RNAcentral.